Long non-coding RNA from Gadus macrocephalus (Pacific cod), 297 nucleotides. RefSeq lists it as uncharacterized. The record is from RefSeq and is a predicted model, not a curated record. The transcript is spliced from 2 exons. NCBI's taxonomy places the organism in Eukaryota, Metazoa, Chordata, Actinopteri, Gadiformes, Gadidae.
CCCCGCCCAAAAUGGAGGCCACGCCCCUGUUGGCGGCCCCGUUGUGUCUUUGACCAUUUUCUCACAGAGUAAUAAAUAAAUAAAGCGGAUCUCCUCGCCCCCGGGGGGUCCGACGCCACAGCGUCCUGUUCAGAGGGGCUUCUGAGAUCCUCCUCGCCCCUGGGGGUUACAUUCAUGUCCAGGAGCGGGGAGGUGGAGGUGGAGGGGUCAUAAUCCAACAGUGGCCCCCCACCGACCGUGUGGCUCCGGGGGGGGGGGGGGGGGGGGCCCGGGUACAAACGCCACGCCCCCGACCGA